This 253-nucleotide ribosomal RNA is filed under the name uncultured bacterium. RNAcentral's name for it is "partial 16S ribosomal RNA". It matches the Rfam family "Bacterial small subunit ribosomal RNA", at positions 524 to 776 of the family's 1533-position model. The record is from RNAcentral.
UACGGGGGGUGCGAGCGUUGUCCGGAAUCACUGGGCGUAAAGGGCGCGUAGGUGGUCUGAUAAGGGUGUGGUGAAAGCCCGGGGCUCAACCCCGGGUCGGCCGUGCCGACUGUUAGACUAGAGUGCUGUAGGGGCAGGCGGAAUUCCGGGUGUAGCGGUGGAAUGCGCAGAUAUCAGGAGGAACACCGAUGGCGAAGGCAGCUCGCUGGGACGGUACUGACGCUGAGGCGCGAAAGCGUGGGGAGCGAACAGG